Long non-coding RNA from Brachypodium distachyon (stiff brome), 447 nucleotides. RefSeq lists it as uncharacterized. NCBI's taxonomy places the organism in Eukaryota, Viridiplantae, Streptophyta, Magnoliopsida, Poales, Poaceae. The record is from RefSeq and is a predicted model, not a curated record. The transcript is spliced from 2 exons.
CUUCGCUCCAAAAAAAAAAGGCGCCUCUCUCGUCUUCUCUCCCGUACGCGCCCCAGUGAAUCGAGCAGUGGCAGUGGCGAUGGGAUUCGACGAGGGAUGGGCGGCGGAGGAAUCCGGACGCUCAUCCGGCCGGCGGCAGCAGGUGGACACGGACCGGACUCGCUCCGGCGCACGUGGCUAGCCGCUCGCCAAAGAGCUCUCCAUCACGCUCCUCCUCGCAACCGAGAGCGAUAAUUAAAGGAAGGAGGUAUGCAGGGUCGCGAGUCUACAUUCAACGUGCCUGUGGCGUGGAUGGAAGCUCAUUUAUCUAAUUUGAUAUUUUUAGACUUCCUUUGUGUAAUAAUACUCUGGAUUAUUAUGUUUUAUGCGUUGUAAUAAAGACAUGAAUUGUGAUAUUUCAUCGUGAACUGUGGGUAGUAGCAUUGAUCCAGGGACUAGUACUAUAAA